CAUGCCGUAAACGAUGAGUGCUAAGUGUUAGGGGGUUUCCGCCCCUUAGUGCUGCAGCUAACGCAUUAAGCACUCCGCCUGGGGAGUACGACCGCAAGGUUGAAACUCAAAGGAAUUGACGGGGGCCCGCACAAGCAGCGGAGCAUGUGGUUUAAUUCGAAGCAACGCGAAGAACCUUACCUGGACUUGACAUCGUCUGAAUAUCUAAGAGAUUAGAGAAGCCCUUCGGGGCAGAUAGACAGGUGG
Molecule: ribosomal RNA, 246 nt
Filed under: uncultured bacterium
Lineage: Bacteria
Description: partial 16S ribosomal RNA
Rfam family: Bacterial small subunit ribosomal RNA
Source: RNAcentral